AUUGAACGCUGGCGGCAGGCCUAACACAUGCAAGUCGAGCGGAUGAAGGGAGCUUGCUCCUGGAUUCAGCGGCGGACGGGUGAGUAAUGCCUAGGAAUCUGCCUGGUAGUGGGGGAUAACGUCCGGAAACGGGCGCUAAUACCGCAUACGUCCUGAGGGAGAAAGUGGGGGAUCUUCGGACCUCACGCUAUCAGAUGAGCCUAGGUCGGAUUAGCUAGUUGGUGGGGUAAAGGCCUACCAAGGCGACGAUCCGUAACUGGUCUGAGAGGAUGAUCAGGCACACUAGAACUGAGACACGGACCUGAGUACUACGGGAGGCAGCAGUGGGGAAUAUUGGACAAUGGGCGAAAGACUGAUCCAGCCAUGCCACGUGUGUGGAGAAGGUCUUCGGAUUGUAAAGCACUUUAAGUUGGGAGGAAGGGCAGUAAGUUAAUACCUUGCUGUUUUGACGUUACCAACAGAAUAAGCACCGGCUAACUUCGUG
This 484-nucleotide ribosomal RNA is filed under the name uncultured bacterium. RNAcentral's name for it is "partial 16S ribosomal RNA". It matches the Rfam family "Bacterial small subunit ribosomal RNA", at positions 30 to 507 of the family's 1533-position model. The record is from RNAcentral.